RNAcentral lists this ribosomal RNA (253 nucleotides) under uncultured bacterium. Its description in RNAcentral is "partial 16S ribosomal RNA". It matches the Rfam family "Bacterial small subunit ribosomal RNA", at positions 524 to 776 of the family's 1533-position model. The record is from RNAcentral.
GACGGAGGAUGCAAGCGUUAUCCGGAAUUAUUGGGCGUAAAGCGUCCGCAGGUGGCUGUUCAAGUCUGCUGUCAAAGCGCAGAGCUUAACUCUGUACAGGCGGUGGAAACUGAAGAGCUGGAGGUAGGUAGGGGAGAUCGGAAUUCCUGGUGUAGCGGUGAAAUGCGUAGAGAUCUGGAAGAACACCGAAGGCGAAGGCAGCGGCCUGGGAAGUCACUGACGCUCAUGUGCGAAAGCCAGGGGAGCGAACGGG